Molecule: ribosomal RNA, 497 nt
Filed under: uncultured bacterium
Lineage: Bacteria
Description: partial 16S ribosomal RNA
Rfam family: Bacterial small subunit ribosomal RNA
Source: RNAcentral
GAUGAACGCUGGCGGCGUGCCUAAUACAUGCAAGUCGAGCGAACGGACGAGAAGCUUGCUUCUCUGAUGUUAGCGGCGGGCGGGUGAGUAACACGUGGAUAACCUACCUAUAAGACUGGGAUAACUUCGGGAAACCGGAGCUAAUACCGGAUAAUAUUUUGAACCGCAUGGUUCAAAAGUGAAAGACGGUCUUGCUGUCACUUAUAGAUGGAUCCGCGCUGCAUUAGCUAGUUGGUAAGGUAACGGCUUACCGAGGCAACGAUGCAUAGCCGACCUGAGAGGGUGAUCGGCCACACUGGAACUGAGACACGGUCCAGACUCCUACGGGAGGCAGCAGUAGGGAAUCUUCCGCAAUGGGCGAAAGCCUGACGGAGCAACGCCGCGUGAGUGAUGAAGGUCUUCGGAUCGUAAAACUCUGUUAUUAGGGAAGAACAUAUGUGUAAGUAACUGUGCACAUCUUGACGGUACCUAAUCAGAAAGCCACGGCUAACUACGUG